UGGGGCCUACGGGGGGCAGCAGUGGGGAAUAUUGCACAAUGGGGAAACCCUGAUGCAACAACGCCGCGUGAGUGAAGAAGUAUUUCGGUAUGUAAAGCUCUAUCAGCAGGGAAGAAAAUGACGGUACCUGAGUAAGAAGCCCCGGCUAACUACGUGCCAGCAGCCGCGGUAAUACGUAGGGGGCAAGCGUUAUCCGGAUUUACUGGGUGUAAAGGGAGCGUAGACGGCAGGGCAAGUCUGGAGUGAAAGCCCGGGGCCCAACCCCGGGACUGCUUUGGAAACUGCCAUGCUAGAGUGCUGGAGAG
Molecule: ribosomal RNA, 305 nt
Filed under: uncultured bacterium
Lineage: Bacteria
Description: bacterial SSU rRNA
Rfam family: Bacterial small subunit ribosomal RNA
Source: RNAcentral